Ictidomys tridecemlineatus (thirteen-lined ground squirrel) is the source of this 2479-nucleotide non-coding RNA. Lineage: Eukaryota; Metazoa; Chordata; Mammalia; Rodentia; Sciuridae. The record is from RefSeq and is a predicted model, not a curated record.
GGAGGCGGGCCAAGGUCACGGAGGGUCCAGGGCCUGCCCAGCCACAGGAGACCCGGCAAAGCCACGUGCGCACGUGGACCCUAGGAUGGGCCUCCCCAGCGCAGCUCAGGGCACCGCCGGCCAGCGCCAGCACCCGUGACGUGAGCUGGAGAAGACCGGGCAGGUCACCCACGAGUCAGUGGUGGCCUUGUGGCCCCAGCCCAGACCCCGUCUGCCGGUGGCCUCACUGGGCUCUCGACGGUCUGAUGCCUUGGGACCCUCCCGACAGGGGACUGCACGUUCACGCCUGUCCCCCGGCCUCGGCUCAGGGGCGGCUCUUUCUGACCCAGGCCCCGGGGUGGCCCCUGGAGGGCAGGAGCCGGGAGCCGCUCUGGACUGCAGGUGGCUUCCUGGCAGAGGUGAGCAAGUGCCAGGAGACCCUGAGGCGGGAGAGGCCCUGGCCGCCAGUGCCCUCCCUCCUGCCCCGCCUCUCGCCACCCAACUUAGGGGACCGCGCUCUUGCCUCUGGCCCCGGGGACUCAGCUGUGGGCCGAUGUCAGGUCAGAGGUCCCCGUCACAGGGCACCAGCCCCAAACCUGUCCAGGCACUUCUUGCAGAAAUGAUUUGAUUUCCGCAGAGCACACCUGGCGGCCUGCCGGGCCUUUCCCACCGCCCGCUGGCUCCGGCUCCUCCAGGGGACUGUGGUCAGGAGACGGCUGCAGCUCUGUCCCCCUGGCUCAGCAGCAUCUCGAGCAGCAUCCAGAUUCUAGGGGCCACCCCUCCCACGCAGAGGACCCAGCCUGAGCGGAACGGAAGCCAGCCGCCACCUGGUUGGGAGCAGAGGACACAGGACUGACGCCCGGCACCCUGCCAUCCAGGCUCCCUGUGGAGAGGCCUGGCCCUUGCUCCUCAGCUGCGCACACACCAGGAGGAAGCCCCGAAGCCCCAGGAGUGUCCGGGAUGUGCCCAGAGACAGCACCUGCUGCCCGUCCUGCGCACCCUUUCCCGGCCUGCCCUCAGGGCAGCGUGUGGCGCCCCAGGUCUGCCCAGGCCACGGCACCUCCUCCGGCCCCAGCCCGGUGGCCAUCUCUGGGCUGUAGGAGGCCCUCAGGGCCAAGGCCCCGCACAGCCUGCUGCCCUCAGGGGACGCGCCUGGCUUCUUCCCCAUGUCACCGAGUGGCACCUUGGGCACGCCUUGGCAGGUGGGCUUUGAUCUGGGCUUUGAAGACGAGUAAAUGAGAUCCCUGGUGGGGGGGGGCUGAUGGACGGCCACACGUUGCGGAUGGACGCCCACCUGCUCUUGUCUUCUUUCCAAGCAUGGACUAAAAAAAAGGAGCAUUGGCCACUGUGGCAGGCUCUGGGGACAGAGGUGCUCAUGAGGCCUGUCCCUGCUCCUGGCAGCCGGUCGUCGAAGCCAGGGGACAGGUUCCACAGAGAGAUAGCAAAGACGUCACAGCUGCCUCCUGAGCCGGUGACAAUCAUCUCAAUUGGAGAGCAGAUGUCGACAGGCUGGAUCCGGGCUUGCCGUUCCUGUGGGUGUCUGCUGCCUUCUCAAAUCGGAUCACCUCGUGGUCACAAAAUGGCUGCCAGCACAACCAGGCUACAUGGGUCCACACUGAGUUGCAGAUCAGAAGCUGUGAACUUUGCUGUGGAGAGGCCCACGGUGCGGACCCAGACUCCCACAGAGCUGACCCUCAGCUCUGUCUCCACUGUUUCCUGGCCUGUGACUCUGGGCACGUGACAAACACUGGAGAACCCUAGCCCUGGUCUUGAUGUUGUGGUGAGAGGUAAUUGAGCAACGAGCAGUAAGCACGUAGCAGGGCCACCGGGUGUCGAAAGUGCCUGGGACACUGGCCCGGGUCACCCGCUGCAUCCUGAGCUGCCCCAUGACUGACUUGUCUUUUUUUUCCUUUUGAGCAUAGAUUUGUUUGUCUUUGAGGCGGACCUCACUAUGUUGCCCAGGCUGGCCUCCACCUCCUGGGCUUGAGCCAUCCUCCUGCCUGGGCCUCCUGAUUAGCUGGACCACAGGCGUGCGCUGGUUUGAUGUGGAAUCCACCUCCCACACAGCCCUGCUGACUCUUCCCCUGGCUCCAGCAGGGACAUACCGUCCCCCUCUGGCCUGGCGUAUCAGCUCAGUGCUGGGCCUUGGCCCCGAGCAGGCCCUGUGAGAACACAGAAGACACGGCCUUCCCGGAGGCUGGGGAAGAUGGCCUUUCCCACGAUGGCCCUGCAGCUGCUCCCGCCCAUGGGGAUGUGGAAUAGAGCCUGGAGCCACUGCAGCCGCUUUGCCACCAUGAGGGAGGCCCAUAUGAGAAUAAAGUUGCCACUACAGCGAGAGUGUAAAAGAAGUGGACCCGAAAGAAACCAGUCAUUUGGAUGUAGCUGAACUUCAAGGCUCGACCAGCCGGAAGCUCACCAGCUGUUAUAUUUCUCAGAUAUGAUGAGCAAAAAUAUCCCCCUCAAAAAUGUAGGUUCCUCCGAAUUGAUCUGCUACAGCCUA